This 1372-nucleotide ribosomal RNA is filed under the name uncultured bacterium. RNAcentral describes it as "bacterial SSU rRNA". It matches the Rfam family "Bacterial small subunit ribosomal RNA", at positions 28 to 1381 of the family's 1533-position model. The record is from RNAcentral.
GAUGAACGCUGGCGGCGUGCCUAAUACAUGCAAGUCGAGCGAACGGACGAGAAGCUUGCUUCUCUGAUGUUAGCGGCGGACGGGUGAGUAACACGUGGAUAACCUACCUAUAAGACUGGGAUAACUUCGGGAAACCGGAGCUAAUACCGGAUAAUAUUUUGAACCGCAUGGUUCAAAAGUGAAAGACGGUCUUGCUGUCACUUAUAGAUGGAUCCGCGCUGCAUUAGCUAGUUGGUAAGGUAACGGCUUACCAAGGCAACGAUGCAUAGCCGACCUGAGAGGGUGAUCGGCCACACUGGAACUGAGACACGGUCCAGACUCCUACGGGAGGCAGCAGUAGGGAAUCUUCCGCAAUGGGCGAAAGCCUGACGGAGCAACGCCGCGUGAGUGAUGAAGGUCUUCGGAUCGUAAAACUCUGUUAUUAGGGAAGAACAUAUGUGUAAGUAACUGUGCACAUCUUGACGGUACCUAAUCAGAAAGCCACGGCUAACUACGUGCCAGCAGCCGCGGUAAUACGUAGGUGGCAAGCGUUAUCCGGAAUUAUUGGGCGUAAAGCGCGCGUAGGCGGUUUUUUAAGUCUGAUGUGAAAGCCCACGGCUCAACCGUGGAGGGUCAUUGGAAACUGGAAAACUUGAGUGCAGAAGAGGAAAGUGGAAUUCCAUGUGUAGCGGUGAAAUGCGCAGAGAUAUGGAGGAACACCAGUGGCGAAGGCGACUUUCUGGUCUGUAACUGACGCUGAUGUGCGAAAGCGUGGGGAUCAAACAGGAUUAGAUACCCUGGUAGUCCACGCCGUAAACGAUGAGUGCUAAGUGUUAGGGGGUUUCCGCCCCUUAGUGCUGCAGCUAACGCAUUAAGCACUCCGCCUGGGGAGUACGACCGCAAGGUUGAAACUCAAAGGAAUUGACGGGGACCCGCACAAGCGGCGGAGCAUGUGGUUUAAUUCGAAGCAACGCGAAGAACCUUACCAAAUCUUGACAUCCUUUGACAACUCUAGAGAUAGAGCUUUCCCCUUCGGGGGACAAAGUGACAGGUGGUGCAUGGUUGUCGUCAGCUCGUGUCGUGAGAUGUUGGGUUAAGUCCCGCAACGAGCGCAACCCUUAAGCUUAGUUGCCAUCAUUAAGUUGGGCACUCUAAGUUGACUGCCGGUGACAAACCGGAGGAAGGUGGGGAUGACGUCAAAUCAUCAUGCCCCUUAUGAUUUGGGCUACACACGUGCUACAAUGGACAAUACAAAGGGCAGCGAAACCGCGAGGUCAAGCAAAUCCCAUAAAGUUGUUCUCAGUUCGGAUUGUAGUCUGCAACUCGACUACAUGAAGCUGGAAUCGCUAGUAAUCGUAGAUCAGCAUGCUACGGUGAAUACGUUCCCGGGUCU